UGGUAGAACGCUUGGGAGCACCGUACGCACGCAGCUCGGCCUUCGGCCUCGCUUUUAGUUACUGGGGGUUGCACGCUUGGGGGUCGGGGUGAAGGCUCCGGGCCUUCGGCCCUCCGCCGGGGUCGGCCUUCGGCCUCCCAGCCUGAAGCUCGCCCUUCGGGCUCGCUUAACCUACUUGGAAAUUUGACUUUGCCCCUGUCCGCCGCCAUUUUGGAUUUUUCCAAAAAACUUUUUUUCAUAUGGUAAUCUUGGCCCCCAGGCUCGCCGCAUGCAAAAUCUCAGCGCGCUCGGACCAACAUUAAAAAAAGAAAAAAAAAAAGUCGGCCAUUUUGAAAUUUUUUUUGAUGCAGUUUUAUUUGUCUCGAGGCCCUCUAUGACAUUUGGUCGAGCACCCCCCACCUAUCACGCACCGUUUGAGAGUUGCCAUACAAAAGUAAACUGGCCAUUUUUCCGCCAUCUUGGAUUUUUUCCAAAAAUUUUUUUUUCCAUAGGAGUCAUUGGGGCUCCGAGAUACCGCGACCGAAAUUUCAGAGCGCUCGGACCUUUUUGAAGUUUUAGAAAAAAAAAAGUCGGCCAUUUUGAAUUUUUUUUUUCUUAUUCAGAUUCCACUCGGAGCCCUCUAUGACAUUUGGUCGAGCUCCCCCGACCUAUCUCUCACCGUUUAGCAUGUGGGGGAUUCGAAAAAAAAUCCCAUACAAAUUUUUUUUCAAGCUAAAAAAAAAAAAAAAAUUUUUUUCGAACGCGGGGGCCCAUAUGUACCCACGUACCGGUUCUCGGCGCUCUCGGACCGUUUUGAAAUUUCGGCGCCAUUUUGAGUCGGCCAUUUUGAAUUUUUUUAAAUGCCAUUUCAUUCGUCUCGGGGCCCUCUAUGACAUUUGGUCGAGCACCCCCCACCUAUCUGUCACCGUUUAAAAGUUGCCAUACAAAAUAAAAGUGGCCAUGGUGUCCGCCAUCUUGGAUUUUUUCCAAAUUUUUUUUUUCCAUACCGAUCUAGAGGGCCCCGAGAUUCCGUGACCGAAAUUUGAGCGCGCCGGGACCGACUUGAAAAUCGGCCGCCAUUUUGAAUCCGCCAUUUUGAAAAAAAAAUGGCGGCCUCCGAAACUGCCCGGGGUCCUCUGUGACAUUUGGUCGAGCACCCCCCCACUAUCUCCCACCGUUUAGCCGGGCCGUCAAACAUUUUUCUGUCCCGAUCCGGUAGACCGGAUGUCGGAUUUUUCCGGAGGUCACCGGACCGCCCCCUGUACGACCGUACCAAACUCGAAUCCCCCCCGCGCCUCCUUCCGGGAGAACAAUUCGUGUCGAUUAACGUUCGGGCUGCAGCUUUAUAUAAUAUAGAAAUUGUUUCUUGCUUCUGUUUGUAUUUGUAUCAUGUAGUAUUUGAUGUUUUCAUUAUUUUUGAAAGUCCUCAGGGUGCCGAUUACGAAAAUGACAUCCAUUAUGGAACCCAAGAUGGCGGACAUUCAUUUUUCUUAAAAAUCGGUAUGGGUGUCAUCUCCGAGGUUCUUCGAGGUACCGAUUACGAAAAUGACGUCCAUUUUGCAAUCCAAGAUGGCGAACAUUAUUUUUUCUUAAAAAUCAAUAUGGGUGUCAUCUCCGAGGUUCCUCGGGGAUCCGAUUACGAAAAUGACGUUCAUUUUGAAAUCCAAGAUGGCGGAAAUUAUUUUUUCUUAAGUCGAUAUGGGUGUCAUAUCCGAGGUUCCUCGGGAUUCCGAUUACGAAAAUGACGUCUAUUUUGAAAUCCAAGAUGGCGGACAUUAAUUUUUCUUAAAAAUCGAUAUGGGUGUCAUCUCCGAGGUUCCUCGUGGAUCCGAUUACGAAAAUGACGUUCAUUUUGAAAUCCAAGAUGGCGGAAAUUAUUUUUUCUUAAAAGUCGAUAUGGGUGUCAUAUCCGAGGUUCCUCAGGAUUCCGAUUACGAAAAUGACGUCUAUUUUGAAAUCCAAGAUGGCGGACAUUAAUUUUUCUUAAAAAUCGAUAUGGGUGUCAUCUCCGAGGUUCCUCGGGGUUCCAAUUACAAAAAUGACGUCAAUUUUGGCGGUUCUUGUUGGUGCAGAUUUCAAAAAUAGAGACCAUUUUAGUAUUAAAGGUGGUUGAUAUCACGGCUACACACAUCGACACCCAUUUCAAAAAGUAGCGUCCUCCAUAUUUAUUUUCAAAAUAGAUGCCAUUUUUGAAAUCCACACCCCUAAAAACCCAGAAAACAACACCCAUGACGACUUUUUCAAAAAAGUGACGUCCGCCAUCUUUAUUUCCAAAAUGGACGUCAUUUGUAAAAUUAGUACCAUACAUCAUACAACAUGAAAACUAAAAACAUUUCCAUCCUCUUUUGGGCAGUUGUGUAAGUCUGUGAUAACCCUAGGUAGGUACGGAGACCUUGAGCGGUGUCGGCAUUUACGCAAACAUCAAAGGCGUCGGCCCACUGUUACUUUUUACACUGUGCUUUUACUGUGUAAACGAAAACGUCACAUGAUAUAUCAAAAGAAAAGUUAUUUUAUCUUAUACCUUUAAACGAGCAAUUCUUGUAUAUAUAUUUCUGUGAUCUCGGAAACGGCUCUAACGAUUUCGCUGAAAUUUGGUAUAUAGGGGUUUUUGUGGGUAUACAAUCUAUCUAGAUUAGUCUUAUGUUUGGGAAAACGCGUGUUUUCGAGUUUUCAUGCGUUUUUCUUUCGACGCAGAAUAUGGUGACUAAUUUCGUGUUGCCGGCCACUGUCCGUCUGGUCCAGCGGGUUAAGACGCGGACUGCUAAACGAGUGUUACGGGUUCGAAUCUCGCCCGGUGACUAACUUUUGUUUUUUUUUAUAUGUUCAAGUUUAUAUAUAAUUUUUUAAUUUUUAUUGUUUUACACAAGUUUAAUUUAGUAAAAAAAAAAUGACCUAUGUAUUAAGAGAAAUCGACAAUAGAUGGCGUUACUCUGUGACAAGUGCUGUAAGGUUAAAAUCGAUUGUAAAUAAUAAUAAUUGUCAGUUCACAUUUUACUUUUUAAGUUUAUGUAGAUUAUCACCACCAUAUUACAAUAAAUAGUUAUAACCGAGCAAAGCUCGGUCGCCCAGGUACUAUAUUACUAACUGUACUAGGUUGCCUUUUUAACAAGUUGGUCCAGUCCAUGGUUGCCUACAUUUUAUAUAAAAAUCGGUUAAUCUAGGCGACCAUUAACUGGACCAACUUUUUUAAUACGGCAACUUUCAAAUAAGCUUUCAUUUGAUAUAUCAUACGAUGAAAUAACAAACAAAAAAACUAUCCGUACGCAAUCUUACAAGGCAACCUAUUUGAAAUGUAUCACUGUGAAUUUUGUCUCACAUUUGUUUCUUAUCAGAAAUAAAUAACUUGAGGGUGCAUAUACCUUAUAACGUAUCUCUAUAUAACUAUCGGUUAUCAAUAUUAGCAUUAGCGGUUAACAACAACAUUCCCCUUAAAACAAAUAACUAUCGCGAGGAAAAUACCAAGUCCAAACAUCUGAAAAAAAUCGGGAAAGAAAAGCUGCAACUGGCUUUUAAAAUGGUACAAGGAAGGGUGGUCAUCUGUAUGAGAAUGUGUUUUUUUGUCUCUAUUUGACCCAAUGGUUGACUGGUAGAGAAUGCCUUUUGGCAUUAAGUCCGCCAUUUGUGUUUUUUUUUUUGUUUGUGCAAUAAAGUUUAAAUAAAUAAAUAAUAUUCAUGUAACGCGAUAACGAAUUCUACGUGAAUGAAACCGCGGGCAAUACCUAUUAUAGUAACAACAAAAUAACAAUUUUCCAUUGCUAUUAAUUUAAAACACGCUUUAGGAAUUUUUUUGAUGGACCGUAGACGCAGUCAAGGGCACCCCGCUCCCCACUACCGUUGUUCGCUGCCUCCUGCCACAGCGCGCGGCGCGCGCAAACUUGCCGCGCGUUUGAAACGUAACGUAUUUAUAUAAGCAAGGAAUGCAUACAUAUCAGUAAUGAGUGUCGCCGUGAUUUUAUAUUUCUAAAUUUUUGCUUAGUAACUGAGAUCAUUGUUGAUGAUCGAUUAUUAUUAACUCUACAAACUUUAAUUCAAUAUCAGCUAUACUGCUUAACCUGAAAUCAAUAUCUAGACAAGCACAUUGUCUACAUGUCUAACUUUUUACUAGAAUACUAAGUUGAUCGAUAAUAUCGUAAUUUUGCAAUAUCAGCAACUCUAAUUCUAUAUUUACAAAAUAACUCGUGUUUUUACGUUUACCAGAAA
This is a long non-coding RNA of Cydia pomonella (codling moth), 4179 nucleotides long. RefSeq lists it as uncharacterized. The record is from RefSeq and is a predicted model, not a curated record. The transcript is spliced from 2 exons. NCBI's taxonomy places the organism in Eukaryota, Metazoa, Arthropoda, Insecta, Lepidoptera, Tortricidae.